Molecule: long non-coding RNA, 631 nt
Filed under: Sparus aurata (gilthead seabream)
Lineage: Eukaryota; Metazoa; Chordata; Actinopteri; Spariformes; Sparidae
Description: lncRNA (ENSSAUG00010012067.1)
Source: RNAcentral
AAUCCUUCAAGUCUAUUAAUCUUAAUGAGCUGCCUGUAGGACUGAGUGUAACCGUCCAUCAUCGACCUCCCACUGAUUAUCACUUCUUAACUCAGCAGGGGACAGCAGGUCUGGGGAAACAACCCGCUGAGAGCGACUGGCAUGUCGGCUGACACGCGGCAACAGAGCAACAAUCUCCUACAUAAACAAAGCGUGGACAGCCCACAGCAAGACCCGUCACCUGCGGGAGGUAGUGGUGAUGUAGUGACGUUGCAAGUUCAGGACGUCCCAACAGCGAGCGAGGGAGACCUCACACAAAACAGCGGCGGUGGGUCAGUGGAAUAUCUGAAGCCAUCACUUCGAGCCAAAGAGCAGUCGCUGAAAGUUCGUCUGUUGCACAUCGCAGGGGACAAUCAACAAACCCAAGAUCAUAUACAGGCAGUUGUCAGAGGCAACACUGUGGAGACCAAGCAGGAGGCAGAGUGGACCGUCAUCAGAGAGACAGCCGCCCCACCACAGGAAGAGCACCCCUCCAAACAGGAAGCACUGGAAAGGUGUGGGUUAAUACUGCUUUCUUUCUUUUUUUUGUUUAACUUUUUUGGAAUUAAGUUUUAACCUGAGAUAUUAUUACAGUAGAACAUAAUCCAGAAUA